CACACACACACACACACACUCCUGCGGUGUGUUGUCCCCGCCUCUGUCUCUAUGAGUGAGUGCAUUUGAGACGUCCUGGGAUUUAUUCAGAGAAAGCCUCCUCCAUCUGAUCUGCUCCACUGCACCAUUUCUGAGCACAAGUGCCAUUUUGUGGGAUUUACACAGUAAAUAAAGGCCCACAUGAUUUGUCUUCCCCUGCAGUAGAGAAUGGGUGCGGAGAGAAAUGAUGAAGGAGAGCGUCUGCUGGAUAUAUGGCUGGAUAUGAGGAGAUAAUCUGACAUGGAUUUCAGCAGCUCUUCUUGACUUUAAGUUUCUCCUUGUCCG
RNAcentral lists this long non-coding RNA (324 nucleotides) under Danio rerio (zebrafish). RNAcentral describes it as "lncRNA si:ch211-159e12.10 (ENSDARG00000097050.2)". The record is from RNAcentral. Lineage: Eukaryota; Metazoa; Chordata; Actinopteri; Cypriniformes; Danionidae.